Molecule: unclassified non-coding RNA, 192 nt
Filed under: uncultured fungus
Lineage: Eukaryota; Fungi
Description: sequence contains ITS2
Source: RNAcentral
CAACCAUCAAGCACAGCUUGGAACAUGGGCGUCCCCCGCGCCAGCGCGCAGGGGUGCCCCGAAACCGUCGGCAGAGUCACGCGGACCCGCCGGGCGUAGCAGAAAAGGAAGGGCCCACGGCCGACCCCUCACGUCCAAUGCGACCGCGCCCCGCGCCGUAAAAACAAUGGCCCGCCAGGGUCGAACACCAAA